RNAcentral lists this ribosomal RNA (200 nucleotides) under Clostridioides difficile. RNAcentral's name for it is "partial 16S ribosomal RNA". It matches the Rfam family "Bacterial small subunit ribosomal RNA", at positions 598 to 798 of the family's 1533-position model. The record is from RNAcentral. Lineage: Bacteria; Bacillati; Bacillota; Clostridia; Peptostreptococcales; Peptostreptococcaceae.
AAGGCUACGGCUCAACCGUAGUAAGCUCUUGAAACUGGGAGACUUGAGUGCAGGAGAGGAGAGUGGAAUUCCGAGUGUAGCGGUGAAAUGCGUAGAUAUUAGGAGGAACACCAGUUGCGAAGGCGGCCCUCUGGACUGUAACUGACGCUGAGGCACGAAAGCGUGGGGAGCAAACAGGAGUAGAUACCCUGGUAGUCCAC